This is a long non-coding RNA of Micropterus salmoides (largemouth bass), 409 nucleotides long. RefSeq lists it as uncharacterized. The transcript is spliced from 3 exons. Lineage: Eukaryota; Metazoa; Chordata; Actinopteri; Centrarchiformes; Centrarchidae. The record is from RefSeq and is a predicted model, not a curated record.
GUCUUCUCCUGCAGAUCAACUGUUUAACAUCAUCCCAGCUCAUUCAACACAUGUACGCAUGAUAUAGUCUACCCUUCUCUUCUGUGGCUUUUGUUUGAUGAGCAGAAGUAGCUUUUACCCAGAGGUUGUCUGGUUGGCGUUUGGGAGCCUGUGGCCGCAUCGUUACCAGCUGGAGUCACAGUGUGGAUCAGAUGUCCCACCUGGUGCCAGAGAGCUGCAGAGACCUGUGAAGCCUCCUCAGUGUGCUGGACAUCUGUAUCUGAUGGGGUAGACUGAUGUGUAAAGGCCUUUUCCCCUUCCGUUUACUUUUACAUUGAGUUUUAAAUAUUGUCCAUAUGUGUUUUUUUGUAUAUUUAAAAAUAUAUCAAUUAUGGUUCACAUUGCAAUAAAUUCAAUAUAUUUGCACUAA